MicroRNA precursor from Mola mola (ocean sunfish), 63 nucleotides. The record is from Ensembl. Lineage: Eukaryota; Metazoa; Chordata; Actinopteri; Tetraodontiformes; Molidae.
UUUAAUUAGUACAGCCUGUAUUAGUAAUGUCAUCUAUUCUUUACAGGCUAUGCUAAUCUAUGC